This 750-nucleotide unclassified non-coding RNA is filed under the name Hevea brasiliensis (rubber tree). The record is from RNAcentral. Lineage: Eukaryota; Viridiplantae; Streptophyta; Magnoliopsida; Malpighiales; Euphorbiaceae.
GUCUUGAGAAUCACCUCUUUCGAAGUAGGCAUUUUUUGCCUUUCACCCCUUUUAAUAUUUGCUCAUCUUUCAUUUUAUUUUAUUAUUAUCAAUUACUGUUCUUUAAUGCUGCUCUCCCUCCCCCUCUCCUAAUUUUGGAUAAAAAUAUGCAUUUAUUUGAGGUAUAUAACAAAAUGUAAUAUGGAACUUCCCUGAUUUCCUCGCUAUGCAUUUAUUUGAGGUAUAUAACAAAAUGUAAUAUGGAACUUCCCUGAUUUCCUCGCUAUGCAUUUAUUUGAGGUAUAUAACAAAAUGUAAUACAGAACUUCCCUGAUUUCCUCGCUAGAUCAAAGUACAGGCUUCUUACUGCAGAAAAAUGUGUCUUUUGCAUUUACUUCAUUUCUUUGACAUGAUGUGGAAUAAUUGUGAGCCAAACUUCAUGCAAUGAUAAACACCUGUCCAAGAUUUUGUCUCCUUUUGUAAUGAAUAAGAUAUCUUGCUUCGCUCACCAUAAUGUUUUUUAAUUGCAGAAAGAUGAGCACUUUUUUUUAUUUUAUCUGUAUGCCAAAUACAUGAUGUGGCUUUUUACCUUUUUGUGCAGUGCUGCAGUGCUAAUAUUACUACAAGUGUUAUUUACAGUACCCUCACAAUUUUUUUUUUUUAAUUUAUGUUGUCUAAAAAAAUUUUAGUUUCCUUCUAUUGCAAACUCUCAUGUGCUUAAAUUUGUUUCACGACUAGGAUAUAAAUCAUACUAAACCACUAUAAACCAAA